AAGUGAUUGGCUUCUAAAUCUCAAAUUUCUCUUUUAUAUAAAGAAUUCCUAAUGCUCAAGGUGAAACACUAAGUGAAGUUGUAGCUAAAGUGAACAAGAGUGGAAUGAGAGCUUUUGUGCUAUGAAGGAAAAUUAGCCCUAUCAUUAUGAAAUCAUUCUACAAAAUCUGUAGGAUAAAACAUGAUAGAAGUGCUUGAAGAGACAGAAUAAUGGAAUAAAAUACAAUGUCCAAAAUAGACACAAAUGCAUAAGGAAAUUUAGAAGAUGAUCAUGGCACCAUAUCAAGGCAUGAGGCAGAGGGACAGUUCACUGAAUGUUGAUGGUGAAAGCUGAAUAUCCUAUGGAAAAAAAGUGAAAAUAGGUCCAGACCUCAUAUGAUCCAUAAGAAUAAACCUCAAACACAUCAUAGAUAAAAAUGUAAAAACUAUUUGAUGGUUUUGUUCUUGAUUUGGUUAAGCUGGGGCUAUACUUUGUAAAUCAUCUUUUAAAAGUAGGUUCAGGUUAGAAUAGGCCAAAAGAUGAACUUGUGAAACUCUGGGAGGUAAGGUAAAGUAGUAGCUACUCUGCUCCAAGUCUCCACAAUCUAUUAUGAUGGGGGAUGGGUAGACAGUGCCUGGUAAGUUUCAGCUAGUUUUUGUCCUCUAUUCUCUUGCAGGCCAAUAGCAGUCCCAGGUCCAUCAACAGAUGUCCAGUAGCAAUUACAGGCAGGUAACAUCUACCCCCACAGGCCCCUUCCACAAAUUCCCCCUUCAGAAUCCUACUUUGGGCACAGCUUCUUCUGCAGGCUCCAGCUUGCUCACCUGUGUUGGUGUUUCAGGACAGAAGCUCCAACAAACCAACUUCAACUAAGGAAUAUUCUACAAAAUAAAUGGCCUGUACUCUGUGUUUAGGGGCAAAAGUAAGAAGAGAACAUCCAGCACAACACGGCCUUCAGAAACAAGCUAAUGGAACAAUUUGGUGUCAAUUUCACAGCUCAGUGAAGUGAAAGUGAUCUAACUGGCCAUCGACACACACCUAGAAGGAGGUCUAAGUGAGUGCCCAGCCUUGAUGUUACUGUGUCAUGCCUACAAGCAAGACAAGUUCAAGUGGAGACAUUAUGUAUUAGGAGAGAAAGUAGUUAUCAUUCAAAUGCCCUCUGAGCUGGCUAGAAUAGAAUGUGCAGAGAGAAAGCAGAGCCAGCCCUUCAUGUUUACACUCUGGAAAGUUGUUUUUUAGAAAUCAUGCUUAUAUUCACAAGUAGCAGGAAAUAGGAGCUUCCCUUUGGGAGUUUGAUAAUGUUUAGAAGCAGAAAUUUUCCUCAACAGAUGCAUAAAAACUGAAUAACUAUUUUAACAGUUUUCCAUGCUUUCUGACAAAGAAAAAAAA
RNAcentral lists this long non-coding RNA (1365 nucleotides) under Heterocephalus glaber (naked mole-rat). Its description in RNAcentral is "lncRNA (ENSHGLG00100044798.1)". Lineage: Eukaryota; Metazoa; Chordata; Mammalia; Rodentia; Bathyergidae. The record is from RNAcentral.